AGGGUUUGAUUAUGGCUCAGGAUGAACGCUAGCUACAGGCUUAACACAUGCAAGUCGAGGGGCAGCAUGAUUGAAGCUUGCUUCAAUUGAUGGCGACCGGCGCACGGGUGAGUAACACGUAUCCAACCUUCCGUACACUCAGGGAUAGCCUUUCGAAAGAAAGAUUAAUACCGGAUGGCAUAGUUUUCCCGCAUGGGAUUAUUAUUAAAGAAUUUCGGUUGUCGAUGGGGAUGCGUUCCAUUAGGCAGUUGGCGGGGUAACGGCCCACCAAACCAACGAUGGAUAGGGGUUCUGAGAGGAAGGUCCCCCACAUUGGAACUGAGACACGGUCCAA
This 334-nucleotide ribosomal RNA is filed under the name uncultured bacterium. RNAcentral's name for it is "bacterial SSU rRNA". It matches the Rfam family "Bacterial small subunit ribosomal RNA", at positions 8 to 334 of the family's 1533-position model. The record is from RNAcentral.